AGCGCAUGAGUUCAUCCUCCGAUGUCUUCCCCUUAUGUGUUGCACUGCUGCCUUGCCCUGCGGCCACAGAAGAGUCAGAACCAAGCUCCGAUGGUGACGCCCAUCAAGAGGAGUGGACGCCGAAGCAACGACGCACAGGGAGGAUGAGGGGAAUAGGUAACAGACCUAUCGAGCCAGCACCACGAGGCUAUAGGAAAGUGAGGAAGGGGAUGAACCUCCCCAGGGGUGGAGAGGGAGGGAAGGGGGAUGAAUCUCCAAGCGCUGGCUAUGGAUGAUGCCUCCGACAUGGGGGCUCUUGGUCAGGGAUGGCACCCCAGCGGAGGGAGGGAAUCCUGGUGGCAGAGGGAGGGAAUC
Molecule: long non-coding RNA, 354 nt
Filed under: Zea mays
Lineage: Eukaryota; Viridiplantae; Streptophyta; Magnoliopsida; Poales; Poaceae
Description: long non-coding RNA (ZMAY_LNC003792)
Source: RNAcentral